RNAcentral lists this long non-coding RNA (585 nucleotides) under Coturnix japonica (Japanese quail). Its description in RNAcentral is "lncRNA (ENSCJPG00005017314.1)". The record is from RNAcentral. Lineage: Eukaryota; Metazoa; Chordata; Aves; Galliformes; Phasianidae.
CUCACCCCUCCAGGCACUGUGCCAGCGUCAGGGAACCAGAGCACAGAAGAAUUUGAAUUUAAAGGAGAGGAAAUUUAGACGCAGUCAUGAAAGUGCAGAGAAGUGAUUAAAAAUCACAGCAUCUCUACAUCUCUUUUCUGCUAAAAUUUUACCCCAGGAAACAUAACGUAAUUAGCUAAUCCUGCCUGCUGAAUAGUCUUGUAGUGUCAGCCCCCUCAUAACGUCUCCUGCUGGAGUUACAAUGCCUCACGGUGAUGGGACAUCACUACCACUUCUGAUGGACAUCCACUCUGAGUUGCAGCUGCCCUCUGCUUCUGGCUUAGCUGUGAACUUGGAAUUGAAUAUAAUAAAGAUCAUUUCAAAACUGCUGAAAUUACAAAAACUGCGCAUACACGCACAGUUCUGCCAGAUGAUAUUGCAGUGCAAAGCCCACUCUCACAGCACAUACAGUGUCUUCAUUCAGCAGGUGCAGCCCUGGUUAGUUCUGAGGCUCUCACACAAAAAGCCCAGCAAGCCUGGCCUCAACCACAGAGCUCUCCGGAUGCUGAAGAGAAGAACCCAGACUUUCUAAUCUCCUGACCAAAU